Long non-coding RNA from Teleopsis dalmanni, 368 nucleotides. RefSeq lists it as uncharacterized. The record is from RefSeq and is a predicted model, not a curated record. The transcript is spliced from 4 exons. Lineage: Eukaryota; Metazoa; Arthropoda; Insecta; Diptera; Diopsidae.
AUGGAUACACAGGAGCUAAAAAGUAAGGAUUAAGAUUAAUACUAGAAGAAACUAUUGAUUAUGAUUGAAGCGAUUUUGAAAUACUGUUGAUUGUUUAUUAACAAAAGUGCAUUCACAUUAAUAUAGUGACAGCCUAACUAAAAUUUGAUUAACAAAUGUUUUGUUAAUCCAGAACCAGUGACAAUCAAUAUACAAAUACAAAUAAACACUAGUGUGCAAAUUAUUAAUAUUAUGGAUGGAAUUUAACACCAAUUGAUGAAUAAAAAGCUAUGUUUAAUGCGAAUAAGCAAAAAAAAAAAUCUAAAAAAAUGUAUUAAAUCAGCCUUGGCUGUUAACCGGAUGGAAAAUUUGAAGUUUAAACGAGUAAA